Molecule: ribosomal RNA, 484 nt
Filed under: uncultured bacterium
Lineage: Bacteria
Description: partial 16S ribosomal RNA
Rfam family: Bacterial small subunit ribosomal RNA
Source: RNAcentral
AUUGAACGCUGGCGGCGGGCCUAACACAUGCAAGUCGAGCGGAUGAAGGGAGCUUGCUCCUGGAUUCAGCGGCGGACGGGUGAGUAAUGCCUAGGAAUCUGCCUGGUAGUGGGGGAUAACGUCCGGAAACGGGCGCUAAUACCGCAUACGUCCUGAGGGAGAAAGUGGGGGAUCUUCGGACCUCAUGCUAUCAGAUGAGCCUAGGUCGGAUUAGCUAGUUGGUGGGGUAAAGGCCUACCAAGGCGACGAUCCGUAACUGGUCUGAGAGGAUGAUCAGUCACACUGGAACUGAGACACGGUCCAGACUCCUACGGGAGGCAGCAGUGGGGAAUAUUGGACAAUGGGGGAAAGCCUGACCCAGCCAGGCCGCGUGUGUGAAGAAGGUCUUCGGAUUGUAAAGCACUUUAUGUGGGGAGAAAGGGCAGUAAGUUGAUACGUUGCUGUUGUGACGUUACCAACAGAAUAAGCACCGGCUAACUUCGUG